UGGGGAAUAUUGGACAAUGGGCGCAAGCCUGAUCCAGCCAUACCGCGUGGGUGAAGAAGGCCUUCGGGUUGUAAAGCCCUUUUGUUGGGAAAGAAAUCCAGCCGGCUAAUACCUGGUUGGGAUGACGGUACCCAAAGAAUAAGCACCGGCUAACUUCGUGCCAGCAGCCGCGGUAAUACGAAGGGUGCAAGCGUUACUCGGAAUUACUGGGCGUAAAGCGUGCGUAGGUGGUCGUUUAAGUCCGUUGUGAAAGCCCUGGGCUCAACCUGGGAACUGCAGUGGAUACUGGGCGACUAGAGUGUGGUAGAGGGUAGCGGAAUUCCUGGUGUAGCAGUGAAAUGCGUAGAGAUCAGGAGGAACAUCCAUGGCGAAGGCAGCUACCUGGACCAACACUGACACUGAGGCACGAAAGCGUGGGGAGCAAACAGGAUUAGAUACCCUGGUAGUCCACGCCCUAAACGAUGCCGAACUGGAUGUUGGGUGCAAUUUGGCACGCAUGUAUCGAAGCUAACGCGUUAAGUUCGCCGCCUGGGAGUACGGUCGCAAGACUGAAACUCAAAUGAAUUGAC
This 569-nucleotide ribosomal RNA is filed under the name uncultured bacterium. Its description in RNAcentral is "bacterial SSU rRNA". It matches the Rfam family "Bacterial small subunit ribosomal RNA", at positions 355 to 914 of the family's 1533-position model. The record is from RNAcentral.